RNAcentral lists this ribosomal RNA (307 nucleotides) under uncultured bacterium. RNAcentral's name for it is "bacterial SSU rRNA". It matches the Rfam family "Bacterial small subunit ribosomal RNA", at positions 28 to 334 of the family's 1533-position model. The record is from RNAcentral.
GAUGAACGCUAGCGGCAGGCCUAAUACAUGCAAGUCGAACGAGAUUUAUGACUUCGGUUAUAAUGACAGUGGCGCACGGGUGCGUAACGCGUAUGCAACCUACCCUUUACUGGGGGAUAGCCCGGAGAAAUCCGGAUUAAUACCCCAUAGUAUCACAGAUUGGCAUCAUGAAGUGAUUAAAGAUUUAUUGGUAAAGGAUGGGCAUGCGUGACAUUAGAUAGUUGGUGAGGUAACGGCUCACCAAGUCCACGAUGUCUAGGGGUUCUGAGAGGAUGAUCCCCCACACUGGUACUGAGAUACGGACCAG